RNAcentral lists this ribosomal RNA (636 nucleotides) under Gambierdiscus caribaeus. Its description in RNAcentral is "partial large subunit ribosomal RNA". It matches the Rfam family "Eukaryotic large subunit ribosomal RNA", at positions 43 to 651 of the family's 3401-position model. The record is from RNAcentral. Lineage: Eukaryota; Dinophyceae; Gonyaulacales; Pyrocystaceae.
UAAGUAGGCGGAGGAAAUGACACAAACAUGGAUUCACUGGGUAACUGCGAGUGACAUGUGAUUUGCUCACGGCUGAUAUUCUUUGCUGUAUGCUUUGACAUGAGGACUUUGAGUGUGGUGCCAAUGGUGGUGUAAGUGUGAGCCAUCUUGGAAAAGAGAAGAGUGUGCACUUACAAGGGUGAGAAGCCUGUGUGUGCUUACAGAAUCUCCACAUGUGGGUCUCACUUUGAGAAUCAUGCUCUUUGGAAGUGGAGUGUAAAGUGGGCGGUAGACUCUUCUCAAAGCUGAGUACAGAACUGGGACAGACAGGGAAGAAGUACCAUGAGGGAAGUGUGAAAAGGACUUUGGAAAGAGACUUAAAAGAGCCUGUACGUGCUGAAGGAUACGCAUACAGCAUGCUUGCAUGUGAGAUGAUUGCUGUGGGUGUGCGGCUGUCUUUGACUGGAUGACUGUGGACAUGUGCCAUGGACACUUGACCACCUAUUGUGUAUCCUCUUGUGUGUGCCAGCAUGUUGGAGACAGUCAGUGUUUGAGCGCAGUGGUCGCUGUGCAUCUCAAGAUACAUCAGAUGUGCACUCAAAGAUCUGAGCAUGUUGAAAAGCAGGUGCAGAAGGGCCCUCCUGUCUGUAUGACCCG